GUCUGGCCUCUGGCCAAAUUAUAGUAGCGCUGCCCUAACCAAAUCCUAUUGACUCUACACAACGAACCGACUAGUCGAUGUCGAUCCCACCAUCUUCAACCUCAACUCCUUCAGCCUCUUCAGGUUCGCAAUUCACAUACACCACAGCAACGGCGACGCCAAACUCUUCGUAUUUCCCAAUGCCCUUUCACCUCCAGCAAUCGGUCCAACCCUACGUCGCUCCGCCCGCAGUUCAACCCGUCGUCACUCCUGUUUACACCGCUCCAGUUGGAGCCGUCUACUCUCUUCCUCAGUUCCAGCAGGCACAACAGUUAUUUCAAAGGGAUGCACAAACUAUUACACCUGAAGCGCUUGAGGGUGUAAAAGCAGCCCUUGCUAGCAGUGAGAUUGAGCACAAACAAGAAAACAAAAAGAAAGCAAUUCCUCGAAAAGCUGCUGGCCAGUCUUGGGAGGAUCCAACGCUUGCAGAGUGGCCUGAAAAUGAUUAUCGACUUUUUUGUGGUGACCUUGGUAAUGAGGUGAAUGAUGAUGUUCUUUCAAAAGCAUUUUCCCGCUUUCCAUCAUUUAACAUGGCUAGAGUUGUUAGAGAUAAGCGGACUGGCAAAACCAAGGGCUAUGGAUUUGUUAGCUUUUCCAACCCUACGGACCUUGCAGCAGCACUGAAGGAGAUGAAUGGUAAGUGAACUUAAAUCUUCCUUUUCUUUUCCCCCUUUUUUUCGUAUUUAAUACUUGUGCCUGCUCUUGGCAUCUUCAAUGAUGUAACUCUAAAGCACAUGUAUAUAGUUAACCGGACCAAAAAUCUACUCUACUGAACAAGUUAAGAAAUUCACAACUUACCCUCUUGGAUUUAACCAUUUGAAUUGAGUUCAGAUAACUCAUAAUGAACCAUUUAGAUUGUAGUGACAUAAAAUUUAAUUCAUAGUCCUCAGACUUCAACAAUCAUAUUCGUAAGUUCUUAUCAACUCAAACAUGCCAAUUCAAAUUAAAUAAAGCAAACUAUGACAAUUUAUCCAGAAUUAAAGAUACCAUAGCUUUGUGAAGCCACUUUUCUGCUAUAUGGAAACCCGUCAUGCUUGAUUUAAUUUCAUGAGUCACACCCUAUUUUGUACGUUGUCUCAAAUUUAACACAUUAACACUUGGAAGCGAAGGAGGGUUUAGCAUGCUUCAUUGGCAUUGGGAGCACCAGAAACAAUUUCUUCUCCCAUUCCAUUCAAUUUCGUGUUUUUGGUGAGAGGGAGAUUUAAUUAGGAGGCUUAAUCGAACCAAAGGAAGGAAUUUGGCUCAUUUUUCUCAGGCUGGAUGAGUAGAAAUUGGCUGGAGAUGGUUGUUCUUGGCACGUGGUCCCCCCCUCCCUUUCCCUUUUUUCUCCCUUUAGAGCUCUCUCUCUUGUUUCCCCAUUUUACCUCUCUUGGACUAGCAAUAUAAGGACUCAAAAUGAGUCGAGAAUUUCAGAAAUGUUUUUC
This 1463-nucleotide unclassified non-coding RNA is filed under the name Hevea brasiliensis (rubber tree). Lineage: Eukaryota; Viridiplantae; Streptophyta; Magnoliopsida; Malpighiales; Euphorbiaceae. The record is from RNAcentral.